UGCAGUCGAGCGGAUGAAGAGAGCUUGCUCUCUGAUUUAGCGGCGGACGGGUGAGUAAUGCCUAGGAAUCUGCCUGGUAGUGGGGGAUAACGUUCCGAAAGGAACGCUAAUACCGCGUACGUCCUACGGGAGAAAGCAGGGGACCUUCGGGCCUUGCGCUAUCAGAUGAGCCUAGGUCGGAUUAGCUAGUUGGUGAGGUAAUGGCUCACCAAGGCGACGAUCCGUAACUGGUCUGAGAGGAUGAUCAGUCACACUGGAACUGAGACACGGUCCAGACUCCUACGGGAGGCAGCAGUGGGGAAUAUUGGACAAUGGGCGAAAGCCUGAUCCAGCCAUGCCGCGUGUGUGAAGAAGGUCUUCGGAUUGUAAAGCACUUUAAGUUGGGAGGAAGGGUUGUAGAUUAAUACUCUGCAAUUUUGACGUUACCAACAGAAUAAGCACCGGCUAACUUCGUGCCAGCAGCCGCGGUAAUACGAAGGGUGCAAGCGUUAAUCGGAAUUACUGGGCGUAAAGCGCGCGUAGGUGGUUCGUUAAGUUGGAUGUGAAAGCCCCGGGCUCAACCUGGGAACUGCAUCCAAAACUGGCGAGCUAGAGUACGGUAGAGGGUAGUGGAAUUUCCUGUGUAGCGGUGAAAUGCGUAGAUAUAGGAAGGAACACCAGUGGCGAAAGCGACUACCUGGACUGAUACUGACACUGAGGUGCGAAAGCGUGGGGAGCAAACAGGAUUAGAUACCCUGGUAGUCCACGCCGUAAACGAUGUCAACUAGCCGUUGGGAUCCUU
Molecule: ribosomal RNA, 781 nt
Filed under: Pseudomonas sp. 8Z
Lineage: Bacteria; Pseudomonadati; Pseudomonadota; Gammaproteobacteria; Pseudomonadales; Pseudomonadaceae
Description: bacterial SSU rRNA
Rfam family: Bacterial small subunit ribosomal RNA
Source: RNAcentral